RNAcentral lists this ribosomal RNA (207 nucleotides) under Triticum aestivum (bread wheat). Its description in RNAcentral is "partial small subunit ribosomal RNA". Lineage: Eukaryota; Viridiplantae; Streptophyta; Magnoliopsida; Poales; Poaceae. The record is from RNAcentral.
UUGGAUCUGGAGUUCGAGAAGGACAUCAUUGGUAGACACCUUUCAUAUGCUUUUUACUCCAGGAAGUUAAGUAAUGGUGAGUUUGUUGACAGAAAGUGGUUGGUUUACCACAAAGGUGCAAACAAAGUAUAUUGUUUUUGUUGCAAGUUGUUCAAAUCAAAACUGAGCAAGUCUAUGCUGGCAUCUGACGGAUUGAAUAACCGGAAG